This is a non-coding RNA of Equus caballus (horse), 3437 nucleotides long. Lineage: Eukaryota; Metazoa; Chordata; Mammalia; Perissodactyla; Equidae. The record is from RefSeq and is a predicted model, not a curated record.
AAAAAAUGAUUGUUUAUCUGAAAUUCAAAUUUAACUGAGUGUCCCACAUUUUGUCUGUCAACCCUACCUAUGACCUUCCCUAUCUCUCUUCCUCUCCUUCCUUCCAUCCUUCCUUCCUUUCUCCCUCCCUCAUUUCCUUCCUUGCUUCCUUCUAAAAAGCCUUUGUUUUGAGCCCACUGUCUGCAGAGUCCUUUACUAGGAACAAAUCAAGUAUAAUGCUUUCCUUCAAGGUGUUCACUGCAUAGAGCAGGAGACAAACUGGUAACCACUGCCUUUCACCCAGUGGGAUUCAUCCCCAUCCUAAUACACGUUCAGACGAACCAUUUGGGGGCCACAGAGGAAGGAAUAAUUAAUUCUGUACGGGGUGGAGCCAGAUGAGGUGGAAAAGAGGAAAAGAGCUUGGGAAAAGGCUUAGGGAUGGUGGCUCUUGGCCUUGACCUUGACGGAUAGGUAUGAAGCAAUGGGAGGCAAUGGAGGUGUCACUGUGGCCGGGUUGGUGAGGCAGGAGCUGUGUGUGUGUGUCUGUGGGGGUGCUAGUGGCGCUGAUGUCAGGAGGAAACCAGAAAGGUUGUUUGGAGUCGAGAUGCUGAGGAGUUGGGGCUUUCUCUGAUGGGUCUUGAGAGACUGACUAUACAAAUGGACCUUGGCCAGACCAGAGAUGAUGGUAGAACUCUAACCACAACCUGUGAAGCAACCUGUCCAGGAAGCCAAACGACAGCGUCUGCAGCCAUCUGCCCAGAAAGUUCAGGACUCGGUCAAUGCCUGCCAGUUUCCCUAUUGUUUUGUCCCUGCUUCCAACUCAGGACCAAGCACACAAGAAGCCCCAUUUCCAGAUGCCCUCCUCCAGCUUCCCCAGGCAGGGCACACUUGAAGACUUCCUUUUUCUUCGCUGUAAUGCUUCCCCACUCCCCCGCCUGCCUUUGAAUUUCUGCUCUAAAUAAACAGCUGGUUUGUUCUCACUGAAAGUGGCCUUCAUUUAUGUCCUGAGUGUAGUCUAUGAUAUUGCUUUUUAAGACAGGGAGAGGGGCAAUGGGAGUAGCUCGCUCUGUGGAAACUCAUACGCUGAUACCUGGUGUCAUGACAACCACAGAUGCUGGUAGCAUUUGGAGCUGGAAAAAUCUGCUUUGUGAGGCCCUUUGCAAUCCAUACACACACAUGCAAUUUUUCAAUGUUUAUAUUCACCUGCAGAUCCCCAAAUUCUUUUAUAUUCUAAAGAAAGGCUUCGAAUCUUUAAAGUGAAGUUUAAAAACAGGAGUAUUGUUACCCUUAAUUUUCUUUUUGAAUCAUUAUUUUGUUUCCCCUUGUGGUAGAUUGCAUCACUGACUCCAAUUUGUCACCCUUCCUUGUACCCACACCCUCAGCCGUUGGACUCGGCAGCACCUCCCACUAAAUGGGUGGAGCCCCUUGAUGUUGAGUUUGGCCAUGGGACCUGCUUUGGCCAAUGGGAGAUCAGCAGAUAUGAUGCAAGCAGAGGCUUGAAACAGGCUCACUCACUGGGGUUUGGGCUCCUGCUCCUCUGCCAUCUCCAUGAGAAGAACAUGCUCAAGAGAGCCUGCUGGAUACAGGAGUGGGAUCCAUGCCUCCUGCCAUUCUUUCCUGCUGGGAGAGCCCUGACUUCUUUUCAGGAGUUCACCCUCUGCCCAGCCCAGACAAGAGCUCAGGGAAGGUGUCCUCUUCAACCGCAGGGAGCGAGUCUUGACUAAUCGAAGCCAAUUCCUCUAGACUUUUGGAGCUGCUGCUGCCAUUUUGGAACCAUGAGGGGAGCUGACAACGGGACAGGCUAACAUUCUGAGGAGGACAGAUGAGGAAGAUCCUGAGUCCCAGAUGUCGCUGAGGAGCCGUCCCCUCGUGAGCCUUGGAGCUGCCCUAUCUCGGGGCUGCUUGUUACACAUCCUCGUUGUUCAGGCCGUGUUUCCUCACAGUUUCUGUUCCUUACAGCUCAACUCUUCCUGCCUGAUCCGGAUGCUUCCUCAGAAGAGGAAAAUCCAAGUUAAAGAGAAGGAUGCAGCUGGUCCCAGGACCGCCCUUGGAAUAGCAAGUCUGUAGGAGACUUGGAGCUCCUGCCUGUCUUACAGAAGAGGAGGGUGAGUCCCACGAGGGGCUGCUCCAAGCCCACAGAGAUCCAGAAAGCUGCUGAGAGAGGCAGCACAGAACCCAGCCGUCCCGGUGGAGUUCAAUGAGAGAUUAACUUUUCCAUCCUCAUCAGAAACAACCAUGUGAAGUGUAUCUAUGCAUUGCGAGUUCCUUUCCCUCACCCCGAGAGCCAGCGCCCCAUUUCCUGAAUGAGGUAAGUUUUAUUCCUGACUCUCAGACGGGAGGAAGAGAUGGACAAUGUCAAGAACAAGGGCAUUAAACUAAAAUGAGUGGUGUUCUACUGGGGGAGAAGUGGAAACACAUUACCUCAGGGCCCGUGGCAUAAAACAUAGCGUAGAAGGAGCAGCCAGGGUUUAAGAAAUCAGGAGAGUAUGCAGAAAUAGUCAUUGCUUUGCCAACGUGAGGGAAAUACACACAACUCACUCCUCUUUGGGGCGGCAUCCAGGCUGACGCGGCUCCACUAUGUGGCAAACUGAGAUGGGUCCUUUGGCUUUUCCAAGUCUAUCCCAGAGUUAUUCCUUACUUAAGAGGACAUGUCCAACACAUCCCACCGUCUGGGGCACUGCCCAAAUGCCAUCACAUUUACCAUCACUGUGGGUUCUAAUUUUUCCCCACACCUGACCUUUGCUCUCAUUUGACUCAUCCCAAAGCCCAGUCCUUGCUCCUGGUACAGCCAGAAAGGAACUAACUAAAGAAAACAUACAGUGCCCCUCUUCAAGGAAAGCGCUAGAAACUCCCGGCUCCUGAAUGCAAUCCUUUAGAGAAGGCGUGACUCAAGCCUAAAUAAGAUCUGAUGCUUAACAAUCUUCCGUCACCCACAAGCCCUCUUGGUGUCAGCAAAGGUUUUCCCAUCAGCCGCUGGAAGGAAUAAGAAAAGGAAGCAAAUCAAACUGCCGAGUGUCGCUUAGCCCCAAAUGGCGACAAGAGCCCAGAGGGGCAAGUGCCUGGAGAAAAUAUUUCAAUUCUUCUGCAUCAUGACAAUAAUUAUUCCAGCAAUUCUUUUUAUUUUCUAUCAAAGCACAACCAGUAAACUCUCACAGGUCUCUGUGCUGUUUGCUGGAAGUAAAGGACAAGACAAAUCGCUCUCAUCCUCAGAGAGUUGAGAAUCCAUAGGAGGAGGAAGAAAUGAUACAAAGACUAGGAAACAAGGUGAAGAGCAGCUCCUGCAGUCCAAAGGGCAGCAGAAUUGCUGAGGGAGGGGAGCAUGAGCCCUGGUAGAGCACCACCCUCUGGGCAAUUUUCAUAGUUAGUUUUGUGGUCCUGGAUUCUCCACUCCCCUAGGGAUAUCUUGAAUAUGAAACAAGUUGUCUACCUUAAAGAAUAAAUGAACAGGAAAUACUGUG